AUGCACGCUGGCGGCGUGCCUAAUACCUGCAAGUCGCGCGAACAGACGAGGAGCUUGCUCCUCUGACGUUAGCGGCGGACGGGUGAGUAACACGUGGAUAACCUACCUAUAAGACUGGGAUAACUUCGGGAAACCGGAGCUAAUACCGGAUAAUAUAUUGAACCGCAUGGUUCAAUAGUGAAAGACGGUUUUGCUGUCACUUAUAGAUGGAUCCGCGCCGCAUUAGCUAGUUGGUAAGGUAACGGCUUACCAAGGCGACGAUGCGUAGCCGACCUGAGAGGGUGAUCGGCCACACUGGAACUGAGACACGGUCCAGACUCCUACGGGAGGCAGCAGUAGGGAAUCUUCCGCAAUGGGCGAAAGCCUGACGGAGCAACGCCGCGUGAGUGAUGAAGGUCUUCGGAUCGUAAAACUCUGUUAUUAGGGAAGAACGAAUGUGUAAGUAACUAUGCACGUCUUGACGGUACCUAAUCAGAAAGCCACGGCUAACUACGUG
This 496-nucleotide ribosomal RNA is filed under the name uncultured bacterium. RNAcentral describes it as "partial 16S ribosomal RNA". It matches the Rfam family "Bacterial small subunit ribosomal RNA", at positions 29 to 507 of the family's 1533-position model. The record is from RNAcentral.